UACGUAGGGUGCAAGCGUUAAUCGGAAUUACUGGGCGUAAAGCGUGCGCAGGCGGUUAUGUAAGACAGGUGUGAAAUCCCCGGGCUUAACCUGGGAACUGCAUUUGUGACUGCAUAGCUAGAGUACGGUAGAGAGGGAUGGAAUUCCGCGUGUAGCAGUGAAAUGCGUAGAUAUGCGGAGGAACACCGAUGGCGAAGGCAAUCCCCUGGACCUGUACUGACGCUCAUGCACGAAAGCGUGGGGAGCAAACAGG
This 253-nucleotide ribosomal RNA is filed under the name uncultured bacterium. RNAcentral's name for it is "partial 16S ribosomal RNA". It matches the Rfam family "Bacterial small subunit ribosomal RNA", at positions 524 to 776 of the family's 1533-position model. The record is from RNAcentral.